Molecule: ribosomal RNA, 274 nt
Filed under: uncultured bacterium
Lineage: Bacteria
Description: partial 16S ribosomal RNA
Rfam family: Bacterial small subunit ribosomal RNA
Source: RNAcentral
AUACAGAGGGUGCGAGCGUUAAUCGGAAUUACUGGGCGUAAAGCGCGCGUAGGCGGCUUGGUCAGUCGGAUGUGAAAGCCCUGGGCUUAACCUGGGAAUUGCAUUCGAUACUGCCAGGCUGGAAUGUAGUAGAGGGUAGUGGAAUUCCGGGUGUAGCGGUGAAAUGCGUAGAUAUCCGGAGGAACAUCAGUGGCGAAGGCGACUACCUGGACUAACAUUGACGCUGAGGUGCGAAAGCGUGGGGAGCAAACAGGAUUAGAAACCCCGGUAGUCC